AUUGAACGCUGGCGGCAGGCCUAACACAUGCAAGUCGAGCGGAUGAAGGGAGCUUGCUCCUGGAUUCAGCGGCGGACGGGUGAGUAAUGCCUAGGAAUCUGCCUGGUAAUGGGGGAUAACGUCCGGAAACGGGCGCUAAUACCUCAUACGUCCUGAGGGAGAAAGUGGGGGAUCUUCGGACCUCACGCUAUCAGAUGAGCCUAGGUCGGAUUAGCUAGUUGGUGGGGUAAAGGCCUACCAAGGCGACGAUCCGUAACUGGUCUGAGAGGAUGAUCAGUCACACUGGAACUGAGACACGGUCCAGACUCCUACGGGAGGCAGCAGUGGGGAAUAUUGGACAAUGGGCGAAAGCCUGAUCCAGCCAUGCCGCGUGUGUGAAGAAGGUCUUCGGAUUGUAAAGCACUUUAAGUUGGGAGGAAGGGCAGUAAGUUAAUACCUUGCUGUUUUGACGUUACCAACAGAAUAAGCACCGGCUAACUUCGUG
RNAcentral lists this ribosomal RNA (484 nucleotides) under uncultured bacterium. Its description in RNAcentral is "partial 16S ribosomal RNA". It matches the Rfam family "Bacterial small subunit ribosomal RNA", at positions 30 to 507 of the family's 1533-position model. The record is from RNAcentral.